RNAcentral lists this ribosomal RNA (351 nucleotides) under Pseudocercospora macadamiae. RNAcentral's name for it is "eukaryotic LSU rRNA". It matches the Rfam family "Eukaryotic large subunit ribosomal RNA", at positions 113 to 467 of the family's 3401-position model. Lineage: Eukaryota; Fungi; Ascomycota; Dothideomycetes; Mycosphaerellales; Mycosphaerellaceae. The record is from RNAcentral.
AUUUGAAAUCUGGCGCAAGCCCGAGUUGUAAUUUGUAGAGGAUGCUUCUGGGUAGCGCCCGGUCUAAGUUCCUUGGAACAGGAAGCAAUAGAGGGUGAGAAUCCCGAAUGUGAUUGGAUUGCACCCUCCACGGAGCUGCUUCGACGAGUCGAGUUGUUUGGUAGUGCAGCUCUAAAUGGGAGGUAAAUUUCUUCUAAAGCUAAAUACCGGCCAGAGACCGAUAGCGCACAAGUAGAGUGAUCGAAAGAUGAAAAGCACUUUGGAAAGAGAGUUAAAAAGCACGUGAAAUUGUUGAAAGACUUCUUCCCGCAACCAGACUUUGCGGCAGGGUUCGGCCGGUCUUCUGACCGG